GGCCAGCAUGGCAUAGUGGUUUGAGUGUUGGACUACAACUCUGGAGACCAGGGUUUGAUUCCCAGCUUGGCCA
This 73-nucleotide transfer RNA is filed under the name Phrynosoma platyrhinos (Desert horned lizard). RNAcentral's name for it is "tRNA-OTHER". The record is from RNAcentral. Lineage: Eukaryota; Metazoa; Chordata; Lepidosauria; Squamata; Phrynosomatidae.